GUACGGGAGGCAGCAGUAAGGAAUAUUGGACAAUGCAGGAAACUCUGAUCCAGCCAUGCCGCGUGAAGGAUGAAGGCGCUCAGCGUUGUAAACUUCUUUUGAGUGGGAACAAAAAACGGGACUUGUCCCGGACUGAGGGUACCACUAGAAUAAGCACCGGCUAACUCCGUGCCAGCAGCCGCGGUAAUACGGAGGGUGCAAGCGUUAUCCGGAAUUACUGGGUUUAAAGGGUGCGUAGGCGGUCAGAUAAGUCAGUCGUGAAAUGCCCCGGCUCAACCGGCGGAACUGCGAUUGAUACUGUUUGACUUGAAUCAAGUUUAGGCAAGCGGAAUGUGACAUGUAGCGGUGAAAUGCUUAGAUAUGUCAUAGAACACCGAUUGCGAAGGCAGCUUGCUGGGCUUAGAUUGACGCUGAGGCACGAAAGCGUGGGGAGCAAACAGGAUUAGAUACCCUUGUAGUCA
This 461-nucleotide ribosomal RNA is filed under the name uncultured bacterium. Its description in RNAcentral is "bacterial SSU rRNA". It matches the Rfam family "Bacterial small subunit ribosomal RNA", at positions 339 to 796 of the family's 1533-position model. The record is from RNAcentral.